Piliocolobus tephrosceles (Ugandan red Colobus) is the source of this 961-nucleotide long non-coding RNA. RefSeq lists it as uncharacterized. The record is from RefSeq and is a predicted model, not a curated record. NCBI's taxonomy places the organism in Eukaryota, Metazoa, Chordata, Mammalia, Primates, Cercopithecidae. The transcript has a single exon.
GGCGGCGGCGAACACUCCUUCCGAAGGAGAAGCGCAGGCCUCCCAAGGGUAGGGACUCAGGGCGGAGCCACCAGCCCCGUUCCGCUACUACCUCAGUCUCGGCCCCCUCAGGCCAGGCGUGAGCGCCGCCCGCCUCUCCCACUGACUGCCUCUGGUUCCCAUGGCUUCCCCCACCAAUGGGCAUCCUGGCGGUGAUUGUGGGAAAUGUAGUCCCGGGCAGGCUCGGCUAGUGGGCUCGGACGCGCUCGCUGACCACGAUCCCCGGCAAGCCCCGCGCCUCCGGCGGCGCCUCACGCAAUCUGCGCCGGGGCGGGGCAGCGGCCGGGUAGGCGAGUCCCAACGGCUCCCGCGGCGGUUCGAAUUCCUUGCUGCUGGGGUUCGCUGGUUCUCCAAGUAGCGUCCGAGGCUUCCACACGCAGGGGCCCUGGAGAGGGUCAGAGGCUUCCUAACGUAGACUCGAGUGCGAAGCACGCAGUCGCCGGGUGAGUCUCUCCCCAGCUGCAACUUGGGUGGUGAGCGACUGCCCCUUGGCGUGGGGAAAACAGCUUACCUGGGGGAGUUUUGUUCCUUUCCCUUCCCGGCACCUUGGAUGCGCUGGGACUGGUCCUUGCGGUUGCUGAGCAUGCUCCUCUGAACGGUUGUAUUUUAUUUGAUGAAAAAUAGGAGUCUGGGCGCAGUGGCUCACGCCUGUUAUCUCAGCACUUUGGGAGGCCGAGGCAGGAGGAUUGCUUGAACCCAGGAGUUCGAGGCCAGCUUUGGCAAUAUGGCGAGCCACUGUCUCCAUAAAAUUAAAAAAAAAAAAAAGUAUUUCCUCAAAAAAAAAAAAAAAAAAAAAAAAACUGAAAGGAAGAUGUCACGUCCGCCCCCGACCCCUGCUUCUUUCACACGGAUGUAGGAUCAGCUGUGUCAAGCAAUCUUGAGACAAGAGACUACUAUACAAAGUUAUGACCUCUUUCCAAAA